Long non-coding RNA from Cornus florida, 4765 nucleotides. RefSeq lists it as uncharacterized. The record is from RefSeq and is a predicted model, not a curated record. The transcript has 3 exons. NCBI's taxonomy places the organism in Eukaryota, Viridiplantae, Streptophyta, Magnoliopsida, Cornales, Cornaceae.
AACUACAGAGAGUGACAGAAUGAAGAAAGGCUUCCGAGUCGAUUGAUGGCGAUCGCGAUCGCUGUCUAACCCUGUUGGUUCUCUCUCCUCUCUUCCACCGGCGCAUCUCCUCCAAACGCCUCUCGUUCCUAAAUCCACAGAAGGUAAACCCUAAUAUCCACACGUCUCUGCCUUUUCUAGCCAUUAACUACAAACCCUAACCCUGUAAUCCUCUUCCUACCCCCUCUCCCAAACCCUAAUCCUAAUCACACCACAACCCUUCAAUCCUCUUCCUACCCCUCUCCCAAACCCUAACCCUAACCUCCAAACGCCAACCACAACCACCCACUGGAAAUUGGUCGUUAGUGUUUGGGUUCCCCUUCUUUUAUCUAUCUAUAUAGGUCACACAUGCUUCUAGCUUUUCACUACAAACCCUAACCAUCCUAUUCCUACCCCUUCUCCCAAAUCCUAACCCUAACCACAACUCUUAACCCCCACCACAACCCUUCAAUCCUCUUCCUACCCCUACCCCUACCCACCGGGCCAGUCUUUAGUGUUGGUGUUCCCCUUCUCUAUACAGACACAUAUAUCACAGGAAUCUGAAUAUGCAUAUUUGUGUGUUCAGUCCCACAUGCAUGCAUGGUUCUAUGUGAAGGGUUCGCUGUGGUACAGAACUCAUGAAUGAUUUUGCUUGAAGGGUUUCUUGCAAAGACUAUGCUCUGCUCUGUCUGAUUUUUUUUUUUUUUUUUUUUUUUCUCCCUCUUUGUCAAUUCUUCAUACAGAGCCAUUUCAUUAGCAGGAUCCAAAGAGUAUGUCGUUCCUCAUACUUGAGAGGAACUAAGAUUACUUUCUAUCUGAGUAUUUAUGUUAUUUCUUUUGUGGUUAAGGUUUCAUGAGAAUAAUUUCAACAGAAAGAUAUGGACAUUAUUUCUUUUGUAUAUAUCUUAUCUCAUUUUCUGUGUGUUUUUUUGUUUCAGUCAAGAAUUUUAGCCUUAGUUUUUUAGCUUUAUAACUUGUGUUUUAUGUGGAAGAUAUGGAUGAUGUGUUGCAAGAAUUAAAUCUUCUUGCAGCUUGUUCUUCGUAAACAUACAAUAUCUAGAAAUUGUUUUGGAAUGGGUGGAAUAUGGGAUUCCAUUGAGUCUAUGCCCCACAAUUGAGAGUUUUUGUAUGUAUAGUUGUGAAGAAUCUUAUUUGUGAUAGUACGGGUUUACGGGCAUCUUGUUUUAUGGAAGCAUCGACUCAGGGUUUAUGCUAUAAAUUCAGUUGUUGAUUCUUGUUAAUUUGUUCUUUAAUUUUGUAAUUAUCUCUGAGUUCUUCCCUUUUUGAUUGAUCUCUGGGUGAUAUGUCUUGUAUUCUUCCUAUUAUAUACAAUUUUAUUUUCUAUGCUAAAACAUAGUGUUGAUGUGAAUCCUUUUAUCUAUACUUUCCUAUUGUAUGCUAAAGCUGCAGCUUAGUUUUUGUUUGCAGUUCCAUGGUUGAACAAAAACAUGAGCAAUAUUUAGAGCACUUUCCUGGAUUUGUUUUGCUUCUUAUUCUUUGCUCUCUGUAAUAUUAUGACUAGGAGUAGGAUAUAAGAAAGAAAUUUAUAGAGUUGGUGCCAGUCAUAUCUGUGUUCUUUGUGCAGUUAAUAAUGUUUCUACUGUUAUUUUUACCUAUCCAUAUGAUUACUCAAUCUUCAUUUAUUUGUUUAUGACGACUACCAUAUGAUUGCAACAAUGUUGUAUUGCUGUGUAUUUGGCAGGAUUCUUAAUUUUUCUGAUGAACAUUGAUGAGCUUGAGGACAACAUUACUGUUUGGUUUUAAGUAUAGUUAUUGCUACAUCAUUUGCCCACUCUAUCUGGAGGAGGUGUUGGCUGUUUUCUAAGUUAUGUUUGCUGUUUUGAUAGCUGGACUCCUGUGUGGAGAUCGAGAUUAUCUAUAUACAAUUGAUGUUCUAGUUUGAAAGCCCUCCUCUUACACAUCAUUGAUGAUUUUAGACUGUCCUUGAAGAGUGGCUGAAAAAUUCGUUAUGAAUCUUCUCUUUCCAUGUCAAUUUCCUUGUAGGAGAGGCCUUGGAGUUAGUUUAGGUGGCUUAACGAAUUAUAAAGUCAGCCCGUUGGAUGUGAACCAAGAAUACUCUCUUUUUCAUUCUUCUCUUUUGAUUUCUUGGAAGUAAUUAAGCUAUUAGCUAUACUUUAUGACAUUAAUACGGUCCAAAAUUAAUGAAUUUUCUGAUUUGUUGGGUUCUAUGUGAAGACUUCGCCGUAGUACAUAAUUCAUGAAUGGUUGUGCUUCGAAGGGUUUCUUGCAAAGACUAUGCUGUGCUCUGUGCUUUCUUUCUUUCAUGAGGUAAUUCUGCGUAUUUUGGGCUUAGUGCAUUAUCGUUGCACACCAGUUCCAAAGAGGAGGGUUGUGCUAAGUGUAGUAUAGCUUGACUGCCCGCAUUUAACUUGUCUAUAUGACUAAAUCAGUUAUGUUUUCUAACAUACUCCUGCAAUGUGAAGGAACUUGUUUUUCCAUGUUGGAGAGGAGUGGGUGAGGCAAAGAAUAAUGAUUUAUUUCCUUAGGAGGUUGAAAUCUUGUAAGAAGCUUCUUAUCAUUUUUCUGUUUCUUUUUUUUCUUUGUGGAGUUGCUGUCAGAUUGUUUCCAUUGUUUGCUUGCAUCUAGUUUAUUUACAUGUUUACAUAAAGACGCUUAAGUAAAGCUCCUGCAUGGAUGGUGUGUGAAAAUUUUGAGAUUAAUUCUGCAUGGUUAAACAUAGAGAAAAUAUUUGAUACUUCUCUGCAUUUUCCCCCUACCCUAGACACAAUGAAGAAACUUUGAAUUAGACCGCCGGUAGUUGUGUGGGGCCACUUGCUAUUCAAUGACCCCAACUCCUAGUAUGGGGUUGGUAUUUUUAGUAUUGUUGACCAAAUUCCAUAAUUUUAAUGUUAUACCUAGGCAGAGAAUACUUGGCAACAUUUGGAACUCAGAAUGAGAAUCGACCUCAGUCUUUAGUCUUUUGUCAACUUUUCUUUCUUUCCUUUCACACCCCAUUCCCUUUUUUUUUUUUUUUUUUUGAUCUGUCAUCCCUAUAUUUGUCUGUAGCUCUUCUCUCUCUGAUAGGGCACUCUGGAAUUUCAGUUGUCAGCUUUGGCAUAUCAACUCUCCAUUUUUUGAUUCAUGAGUUUUUGCAAAAUACGAGGAUAAGAAAAACACCAAUUAAGAGUUUUUGAUUCAUGAGUUAUUAUCGUGAUAGAUGCCUGUAACUCACUAGAGGCCCCGGGAAACAAAAUGGAGAUUUUUAUGAACGUGAUAUCCAGCUAAAAGUAGUAGUAAAAUGAUUGAAUAGAUGUGUAUGAACCACCCUGGAGACAGUUUCGGGGAUGAACAGAUGGAGCAGUGGAUUUCUUCCACCCCCAAUUGAUCCAGCAUUGGGUGUUCUAUAUAUAUAUCUAUUGUAUAUGGAAUUCGCUGUUAUGAUGUCUGUUAACAUGUUUUUUUUUUUUGUUUUUUUUUUUUGCCCCUUUUUUUGGUCGGGAUAUCACGGUUUCUUUGUUUUAACAGUACAAAGGCUGAACUCUUUGGAGUGCCUGUUGUCGAGCCGCCAGGCAUGAACCAUCAUAUAUUUAUCUUUCUCAAUAAUGUGACUAUUUACUAGCCUUUUCUACAAGCCCUAACCAUCCUCUUCCCACCCCCUUCCCAAAUCCUAACCCUAACUCUAAACAACACUCCAAAUCCCCCACCACAACCUCUGUAUAUUGGUCAAUCGUUAGUGUCAGUGUUCCCGUUCUCUAUAUAGACACAUAUACCACAGGAAUCUGAAUAUGAAUAUGUGUGUUCAGUCCCUUAUUUCUGUACCAAUUAUAAAUUCUCCACUGUUUUGCUUUGAUUACUGUAAGAUUCUUCUGUUGAUUUCUUGAAUUUAUCUAAUAUUUUCUUAGAAUUAUUAGUGGCAAUAUAUCAUAUUUAUAUGGUUAGUUUUUCAAACAUGUAUGCAUGUAUAUAAAAUGUAAGUGAAUUUGAUAUUCAAUUUUUCCAUUUUAGGUUGGUGAGAUUAUAAUCAGAUAUGAGAAACGGUUUCUCAUUGAAAGUGCAAAGUAGAGCAUUUUGGUAGCUUGCAAGGUCAUCACCUUGAGAUCACGGGUUCAAAUCCUGUCUCCGCUACAUUACAGUUUCGAGUAUUGAUAAUUAAUUAUUCUUGCCUUUCAAGUAAAGAAGUGUCUUCUUUUCCUUUUUGCUUAUCAUUUCGGUUUUCAUUUUGAUUGUAAUAAUUUCAUGCAACAAUGUCGUGUAUCUGAAUCUGGCAGGAUUCUAAAUUUUUCUGAUGAACAUUGUUGAGCUUGGGGACAACAUUACUAUUUGGUUUUAAGUACAGUUAUUGCUACAUCAUUUGCCCACUCUAUCUGGAGGAGGUGUUGGCAGUUUUCUAAGUUAUGUUUGCUGUUUUGAUAGCUGGACUCCUGCAUUGAAAGGUAUUGGGAUUAUAUAUAUACAAUUGAUGUUCCAUUUUGAAUGCCCUCCUCUUACACAUCAUUGAUAAUUUUAGACUGCCCUGGAAGAGUGGCUGAAAAAAUCAUUAUGAAUCUUCUCUCUUUCCAUGUCUAGUUUCCUUGUAGGAGAGACCUUGGAGAUAGUUUCGGUGGCUUAACGAAUUACGAAGUCUCAACUCUUUAGAGUGCCCGUUGUCCAGCCAGCUGGAUGUGAACCAUGAAUACUUUCUUUUUCAUUCUUCUCUUUUGACUUCUUGGUAGUAAUUAAGCUAUUAACUAUAGUUUAUAACAUUAAUACGGUCCAAAAUUAAUCAAUUUUCUGCUUUGUAGGGUUC